AGAGUUUGAUCAUGGCUCAGGACGAACGCUGGCGGCGUGCCUAACACAUGCAAGUCGAGCGAUGAAAUCCUUCGGGAUGGAUUAGCGGCGGACGGGUGAGUAACACGUGGGUAACCUGCCUCAAAGAGGGGGAUAGCCUCCCGAAAGGGAGAUUAAUACCGCAUAAUAUUAGAUUUUCGCAUGAAGAACUAAUUAAAGGAGCAAUCCGCUUUGAGAUGGACCCGCGGCGCAUUAGCUAGUUGGUGAGGUAAAGGCUCACCAAGGCGACGAUGCGUAGCCGACCUGAGAGGGUGAUCGGCCACAUUGGAACUGAGACACGGUCCAGACUCCUACGGGAGGCAGCAGUGGGGAAUAUUGCACAAUGGGCGAAAGCCUGAUGCAGCAACGCCGCGUGAGUGAUGAAGGCCUUCGGGUUGUAAAGCUCUGUCUUUGGGGACGAUAAUGACGGUACCCAAGGAGGAAGCCACGGCUAACUACGUGCCAGCAGCCGCGGUAAUACGUAGGUGGCGAGCGUUGUCCGGAUUUACUGGGCGUAAAGGAUGCGUAGGUGGAUGCUUAAGUCAGAUGUGAAAUACCCGAGCUUAACUUGGGUGCUGCAUUUGAAACUGGACAUCUAGAGUGCAGGAGAGGUAAGUGGAAUUCCUAGUGUAGCGGUGAAAUGCGUAGAGAUUAGGAAGAACACCAGUGGCGAAGGCGACUUACUGGACUGUAACUGACACUGAGGCAUGAAAGCGUGGGUAGCAAACAGGAUUAGAUACCCUGGUAGUCCACGCCGUAAACGAUGAGUACUAGGUGUAGGGGGGUCCAACCUUCUGUGCCGCAGUUAACACAAUAAGUACUCCGCCUGGGAAGUACGAUCGCAAGAUUAAAACUCAAAGGAAUUGACGG
RNAcentral lists this ribosomal RNA (888 nucleotides) under uncultured bacterium. RNAcentral describes it as "bacterial SSU rRNA". It matches the Rfam family "Bacterial small subunit ribosomal RNA", at positions 8 to 916 of the family's 1533-position model. The record is from RNAcentral.